CUAAGUCCUGAAGAUACAAAGAAAAGAAAAAAUAAAUAGACCCCCACCUUAAGAAGAGUAUAUUUUACUGAUGAGAAACACAUUAAUAGAAAGGUCAAGUCCUCAGCUGAGAGGUACUGAUGAAGGAGUGGUUGAAACUUGAAGAGACAAAGUUUUCAACUACCACAAAGAAUCAUAAUUAAGGAAGAAAAGAAAGUAUCAUCAUGCAUCAGUGAGAUCCCAGAAUACUCUCCUCCCAUCUCUACAUACAGACAUUCUGCUCAUCCUUCAAGAUCUAAGUCACAUGCCACCACCUCCAGGAAGCCUAACUAAGUUAACUAAGUUCCCUAACUUGAACUUCCUCCUUUUCAGAUGAGGAAACCGAAGCCCACUGAAAUUGUGACUUCCCCAAGGUCAUAUGGGUCAUAAAUAGCAGAGCUGAGACUUGUACCAAAUCCCGAGUCUAGCAUUCUUUCCAUUGUACUGUGUUGCCCCUGUGCCAGUGUUUCCCAUUAUCCCAUAUUGACUCAUUGAACAGAAGAGGAGAGCAUCUCUGUAUGAAAAUAUAUUUGGGGCUUUGAGAUUGGAUAAUCUUCAUGGGAUUAAUGGGCAGGGGCUCCAUUGAAAGCAGAUUUUUGGCUCUGCCUACAUACUAACCUGCCAUUUUCUUUUUACAGUCAUCCAAAUUAAGCAUUAAUUUAUUUCCUCAAAUUG
RNAcentral lists this long non-coding RNA (693 nucleotides) under Monodelphis domestica (gray short-tailed opossum). Its description in RNAcentral is "lncRNA (ENSMODG00000043666.1)". Lineage: Eukaryota; Metazoa; Chordata; Mammalia; Didelphimorphia; Didelphidae. The record is from RNAcentral.